This 492-nucleotide ribosomal RNA is filed under the name uncultured bacterium. RNAcentral describes it as "partial 16S ribosomal RNA". It matches the Rfam family "Bacterial small subunit ribosomal RNA", at positions 29 to 507 of the family's 1533-position model. The record is from RNAcentral.
AGUGAACGCUGGCGGUAGGCCUAACACAUGCAAGUCGAACGGCAGCACAGUAAGAGCUUGCUCUUACGGGUGGCGAGUGGCGGACGGGUGAGGAAUACAUCGGAAUCUACUUUUUCGUGGGGGAUAACGUAGGGAAACUUACGCUAAUACCGCAUACGACCUACGGGUGAAAGCAGGGGAUCUUCGGACCUUGCGCGAUUGAAUGAGCCGAUGUCGGAUUAGCUAGUUGGCGGGGUAAAGGCCCACCAAGGCGACGAUCCGUAGCUGGUCUGAGAGGAUGAUCAGGUACACUGGGACUGAUGCAGGCACCCGGCUCAUACGGGAUGCAGCAGUGGGGAGUAUUGGAAGAAGGGCGCGAGCCUGAUCCAGCCAUACCGCGAGAGUGAAGAAGGCCUUCGGGUUGUAAAGCUCUUUUGUUGGGACAGAAAAACAGCAGGUCAAUCACCCGCUGUGCUGCCGGUACCCUAAUAAUAAGCAACGGCUAACUUCAUG